UUUACUGUGCCGGAACUUAACGGAUCACUUUGAUGUAGUGAAAUAUGGGAUUAUUCUCCGGUGUGC
This 66-nucleotide transfer RNA is filed under the name Patella ferruginea. RNAcentral's name for it is "tRNA-Ile". The record is from RNAcentral. Lineage: Eukaryota; Metazoa; Mollusca; Gastropoda; Patellidae.